RNAcentral lists this long non-coding RNA (509 nucleotides) under Cricetulus griseus (Chinese hamster). RNAcentral describes it as "lncRNA (ENSCGRG00015029555.1)". The record is from RNAcentral. Lineage: Eukaryota; Metazoa; Chordata; Mammalia; Rodentia; Cricetidae.
AUUUGAGGGAGACACCUGCAACCAGACCCUCGGAGAGCAGUGAGCCUCACCAGGAAGCCAGGAGCCUUCACAGUGAGGUGUAGCAGACAUCGCCACCUGAGAUUUCACCAUUUACAGUUUCUGUCAGCCACAGACCACAGCCCUCAAACGUUAAAUGAAUCAGAACUGAGAAUCUCAGCUCCUGUUCUGAGUGCAGUUUCUCACCAAGGUCCAGACUGGACCUGGGAAGCCACCUGAUGAGGGGCCCUAGAGGGUCAGUGACUACUGGCAUCAUUCCAGCCCCAGAGCUAUGAGUGUCUGGCCAUUGUGUCAAACUUCAACCCAAUGCCACCUCCUCAAAGGAGCCCACCUGAAGCCCACAGCCUGAGUCAGCUCAUCAUGUGGUCAUUUAGACGGUGACUGUCAUCGAGCCUAUGUUUAGUGCCCCACUCUUGUUCUUCCUGCUACAUUUUCCAAUGUAGCCAGCGCAUCACAGGCUACGUGCCUGCUGACUGGACCAAGGUGAGGAG